CCCCCCUCGUCUGUAGUUACUUACUUACUUAAGCAUCAUCGUCCUUCUUGCUUUGAUGCACAUAAGGCCGACACUAGCUCUCUCCAUAACACUCUGUCUUGUGCUUUCUUCUCUAAUUCUCGCCAUGCACCCCAACCUCCUUCAUCUCGCUUUCCAUUUUCUUGUCCAUGUUUCCUUUGGACUUCCCCUUUUCCUCUUGCCAGUUGGAGUCCACCUCAGUGACACUUUAGCGAUGUUUGCUGGUUUCUUCCUUAAGACAUGGCCUAUCCAUUUCAUUUUCCUUUUUUUUAUUUCAUCUCUUAUGUCUCUUUGUGCUGUCAGUUUGAAUAGUUCCUGAUUGGAUAUUUUGUUUGGCCAAAAGAUUUUGCAUAUUCUUCUCAAGCAGGUAUUGUGGAAUGCAGCCAGUUUGUUGAAGCCAGUUUGUAUAAUUCUCCAACAUUCUGAGCCAUAAAGCAGUACAGAUUUGACAUUGCUGUUGUAGAUUUUAAGUUUUGUGUUUCUGGCAAGGGAUGACGAUUUCCAGACUGGUCUGAGUAGACAAAAGGAUGUUCUAGCCUUACUCAGUCUUGCUGUGAUGUUUUUGAUGGUCCCAUUAUAUCUGCUUAUUACGCUGCCUAGGUAUCUAAAGUCUUCUAUUUCCUCGAUGUUUAAGGAUCCAAUCUUUACUGGAAUUUUAUUUGAUUGGUCGUUGAUUGACAUGACUUUCGUUUUCUCGUUGUUUAUUUUGAGCCCAAGUUUGUUUGACAUAGUAUUCAGUCUUGAUGUUUUCUUUUGCAUUUGUGCUCUGCUGCUGGAUAGUAAGCAAAUGUCAUCUGCAAAGUCUAAAUCUUCAAGAAAGGAGUUGAGUGUCCAUCUUAUCCCAGUGUUUCCAUUUCCUAAGGUUGAUC
RNAcentral lists this long non-coding RNA (887 nucleotides) under Mytilus galloprovincialis (Mediterranean mussel). Lineage: Eukaryota; Metazoa; Mollusca; Bivalvia; Mytilida; Mytilidae. The record is from RNAcentral.